UUCUUAUAUAUAUGUUUAUAUAUAUACAAGAUAACGACACACUAAAUAGAAUAAAGAGGGAAAAAACAAACCCUACAUAACACGUAACUAUUAAAAAACACAGAAAAAUAGAUAACAUAAAUAGAAAAACCAACCUAGAAAUAGCUUAACCAGUACUAGUUGUAAUUUACGAGUUAUUCAUUGAAAUCGUAGACAAAUUGUUUGAAAAUGUUUUAAAUAUGAUCUAUGGGUUAUUCAUAUUUGAUUCUUAUAUAUACGUUUAUAUAUAUAUAUAUACAAGAUAACGACACACUAAAUAGAAUAAAGAGGGAAAAAACAAACCCUACAAAACACGUAACUAUUAAAAAACACAGAAAAAUGGAUAACAUAAAUAGAAAAAUCAACUUAGAAAUAACUUAACCAGUUCUAGUUGUAUUUUACGAGUUAUUCCUUGAAAUCGUAGACAAAUUAUUUAAAAAUGUUUUAAAUAUGAUCUAUGGGUUAUUCAUAUUUGAUUCUUAUAUAUACGUUUAUAUAUAUAUACAAGAUAACGACACACUAAAUAGAAUAAAGAGGGAAAAAACAAACCCUACAUAACACGUAACUAUUAAAAAACAUAGAAAAAUAGAUAACAU
RNAcentral lists this long non-coding RNA (614 nucleotides) under Lathyrus oleraceus (garden pea). RNAcentral describes it as "Pisum sativum (pea) long non-coding RNA (PSAT_LNC039630)". The record is from RNAcentral. Lineage: Eukaryota; Viridiplantae; Streptophyta; Magnoliopsida; Fabales; Fabaceae.